RNAcentral lists this ribosomal RNA (561 nucleotides) under uncultured bacterium. RNAcentral describes it as "partial 16S ribosomal RNA". It matches the Rfam family "Bacterial small subunit ribosomal RNA", at positions 355 to 937 of the family's 1533-position model. The record is from RNAcentral.
UGGGGAAUCUUGCGCAAUGGGCGAAAGCCUGACGCAGCCAUGCCGCGUGGAUGAUGAAGGUCUUAGGAUUGUAAAAUCCUUUCACCGGUGAAGAUAAUGACUGUAGCCGGAGAAGAAGCCCCGGCUAACUUCGUGCCAGCAGCCGCGGUAAUACGAAGGGGGCUAGCGUUGCUCGGAAUUACUGGGCGUAAAGGGAGCGUAGGCGGACAUUUAAGUCAGGGGUGAAAUCCCGGAGGCUCAACCUCGGAACUGCCUUUGAUACUGGGUGUCUUGAGUGUGAGAGAGGUGAGUGGAACUCCGAGUGUAGAGGUGAAAUUCGUAGAUAUUCGGAAGAACACCAGUGGCGAAGGCGACUCACUGGCUCAUUACUGACGCUGAGGCUCGAAAGCGUGGGGAGCAAACAGGAUUAGAUACCCUGGUAGUCCACGCCGUAAACGAUGAUUGCUAGUUGUCGGGGAGCUUGCUCUUCGGUGACGCAGCUAACGCAUUAAGCAAUCCGCCUGGGGGAGUACGGUCGCAAGAUUAAAACUCAAAUGAAUUGACGGGGUCAUAGCUGUUCCU